This 483-nucleotide ribosomal RNA is filed under the name uncultured bacterium. RNAcentral describes it as "partial 16S ribosomal RNA". It matches the Rfam family "Bacterial small subunit ribosomal RNA", at positions 28 to 523 of the family's 1533-position model. The record is from RNAcentral.
GAUGAACGCUGGCGGCGUGCCUAAUACAUGCAAGUCGAGCGAACCACUUCGGUGGUGAGCGGCGAACGGGUGAGUAACACGUAGGUGAUCUGCCCAUCAGACGGGGACAACGAUUGGAAACGAUCGCUAAUACCGGAUAGGACGAAAGUUUAAAGGUGCUUCUGGCACCGCUGAUGGAUGAGCCUGCGGCGCAUUAGCUAGUUGGUAGGGUAAAGGCCUACCAAGGCGACGAUGCGUAGCCGACCUGAGAGGGUGAACGGCCACACUGGGACUGAGACACGGCCCAGACUCCUACGGGAGGCAGCAGUAGGGAAUCGUCGACAAUGGGCGAAAGCCUGACCGAGCAACGCCGCGUGAAUGAUGAAGGCCUUCGGGUUGUAAAAUUCUGUUAUAAGGGAAGAACGACUUUAGUAGGAAAUGGCUAGAGUGUGACGGUACCUUAUGAGAAAGCCACGGCUAACUACGUGCCAGCAGCCGCGGUAA